CCUACGGGUGGCAGCAGUGAGGAAUAUUGGUCAAUGGGCUUACGCCUGAACCAGCCAAGUCGCGUGAGGGAAGACUGCCCUAUGGGUUGUAAACCUCUUUUGUCAGGGAGCAACGCCGGCUACGUGUAGCCGGACAGAGAGUACCUGAAGAAAAAGCAUCGGCUAACCCCGUGCCCGCAGCCGCGGUAAUACGGGGGAUGCGAGUGUUAUCCGGAUUUAUUGGGUUUAAAGGGUGCGCAGGCGGAUUUUUAAGUCAGCGGUAAAAGCGUGGGGCUCAACCCCAUCCAGACGUUGAAACUGGGGAUCUAGAGUGUGCGAGAGGUAUGCGGAAUGCGUGGUGUAGCGGUGAAAUGCAUAGAUAUCACGCAGAACCCCGAUUGCGAAGGCAGCAUACCGGUGAACAACUGACGCUCAGGCACGAAAGCGUGGGUAUCGAACAGGAUUAGAUACCCGGGUAGUC
Molecule: ribosomal RNA, 460 nt
Filed under: uncultured bacterium
Lineage: Bacteria
Description: partial 16S ribosomal RNA
Rfam family: Bacterial small subunit ribosomal RNA
Source: RNAcentral